AAUCAACGCUGGCGGCGUGCCUAACACAUGCAAGUCGAACGCGAAAGAUCCCUUCGGGGAUUGAGUAGAGUGGCGAACGGGUGAGUAACGCGUGGAUGAUCUGCCCUUUGGUGGGGAGUAACCCGGGGAAACCCGGGCUAAUACCGCAUAAGCCUCUAGAUUCGUUUUUAGAGGGAAAUGUUUUUAGCCGAAGGAGGAGUCCGCGUCCGAUUAGUUAGUUGGUGAGGUAAAGGCUCACUAAGACUGCGAUCGGUAGCCGGUCUGAGAGGACGGACGGCCACACUGGGACUGAGACACGGCCCAGACUCCUACGGGAGGCAGCAGUGGGGAAUUUUGGGCAAUGGGGGCAACCCUGACCCAGCAACGCCGCGUGGAGGAUGACGGUUUUUCGGAUCGUAAACUCCUGUCCUGAGGGACGAAGAAGUGACGGUACCUCAGGAGGAAGCCCCGGCUAACUCCGUG
RNAcentral lists this ribosomal RNA (462 nucleotides) under uncultured bacterium. RNAcentral's name for it is "bacterial SSU rRNA". It matches the Rfam family "Bacterial small subunit ribosomal RNA", at positions 32 to 507 of the family's 1533-position model. The record is from RNAcentral.